This 127-nucleotide small RNA is filed under the name Marmota monax (woodchuck). The record is from RNAcentral. Lineage: Eukaryota; Metazoa; Chordata; Mammalia; Rodentia; Sciuridae.
GCUGGGUGUUGUGGCCCACGCCUGUGAUCCCGGCAGCUCGGGAGGCUGAGGCAGGAGGACGGUGAGUUCAGAGCCAGCCUCAGCCACAUCGUGAGGCUCUGGACAACUCCGGGAGACCCUGUCUCUA